GGGCCCGUAGCUCAGCCGGAUAGAGCGGCCGCCUCCUAAGCGGCAGGCCGGGGGUUCGAAUCCCUCCGGGCCCGCCA
This 77-nucleotide transfer RNA is filed under the name Bryobacterales bacterium. RNAcentral describes it as "tRNA-Arg". It matches the Rfam family "tRNA". From Rfam's summary of the family: Transfer RNA (tRNA) molecules are approximately 80 nucleotides in length. Their secondary structure includes four short double-helical elements and three loops (D, anti-codon, and T loops). RNAcentral also lists the same sequence under 1 other name. Lineage: Bacteria; Pseudomonadati; Acidobacteriota; Terriglobia; Bryobacterales. The record is from RNAcentral.